CGGGUGACCGUGAACCAAGAAGGAAUAGUUGAAAGCGAUGAGAUUAAGAGGUGCUUGGAAUUGGUCAUGGGAGAUGGAGAGGAGGCGAAAGAAAUGAGAAGGAAUGCAAAGAAAUGGAAGGGUUUGGCAAGGGAGGCUGUGAUGGAAGGUGGAUCAUCUGACAAGAAUCUUAAGAAUUUUAUGGAUGAGGUCAUACAAGGUUACUAGCUAGAUAUUGUGGUUGUAUCUCUUGGAGUUUAUGUUAAGACUCCCCGAUUAAUUUAAAUAUUUUACAAGAAGAUUUUUAUUAUUUAUGAUGUUAAUACAAGUAGUAGUAUUAAUUAAUGGUAGAGGGCAUAUCUAAAAUUAUGGGAGAUUCAUUGCUUCCUGAAGGCCCUAUCACAAAGGAUCUGUCAAAUGCGUGGCUAAGGUGCUGUUUGGUAAAUGUCCGUUACCAGCCAAAAUUUUGCAAUUAUUGCUAAUGGGAAUCAGGGAAACCCCAAACUGGCCUUGAUGGUCCUUGCGUGAAGACCCAUCCAAUUCUUUACAUUGUGGCCACUGAUUUGGUGUCUUAUCCUCUCAUGCCCAUCACUUCAUGUUUACAAAUUGAUAUUGUAUUCAUAGCUAUUUUUUAUGAAGGUUCAAUUGGCAAGAAGUAUUUUUGCCUUGGGAAGAUGUUGGUUAUGGAUUUAAAGCAAAAUAAAAGAUUAAAAAAAUGAUCCUUGUACAAAUUUUUGGGUGCCUCUAUUAAUUAAGUGAAUAUUAUUAUUUAAUUGAUAAAUUAAUAAUUUAUUAAUUUAAUUACUUAUUAAUUAGAUCUCUGGAAUAAUUCUAUUAUGGAACCUAUCUUGCACUAAGAAGCAUCCAUAGCGAUAAUAAUAUUAAAUAAAUUUUUGUUAUAGUACAAGAAUGUUACAUCAGACCUUUUUUUUUUUUUUUUUCAUAUUAGGAAUAGUUAAAGAUGAGAUUUAAGUAAACAUAAGUUUUAAGAAAAAAUAACACAUAUAUUUUACGAAGGAUUCUUGAUAAAACAUAUGAAUUUAAUUAUAUAUUAGAAAAUUAUUAAUUUUUAUAAUAUGUGGAUUUUAUAUGAAACUACAUAGAUUUUUUUUAUAAUGUAUUAUUUUAUAAAUUUAUCAAAUUAUUAGUUUAGCACGAUGACCCCAAAUUUAGAUUAAUUAAAAAAAUAUUUAAUUGAAGUUCUUAAUUAAUUAAAUAUUAAUUUAUUAUAAAGUUUUAUUGUAUUUUAUUUUCAUGUUCUGAAAACUAGUCGAUUUGAUUGGUUUGAGCAUUGAUUGACUAUGUAUUUUACAUAUGAGAUCGAUUAUGAGUUGCACUUUCAUCCCAAGGUAUUUAAAAAUUAGGAAAAUCAAUCCCAAGGUAUCUAUUUUACUUUUCUUAGUCUAUUCACCAUUGUCCAAACACUCCAUAAGUGGAAUGUAACUUGGAGGGGCUUGAAUAUGCAGAAUUUUAUAAUUUUGCACAUUAAUGUCUCAGAGUGUUAAAAUCUUUUACAACUAAUUGUAGAUAAGUUUAGUAUUGACAAAUAAUUUUAUUACAAUUAAAUUAUUUUUUAAUUUAUAAAAAGGUUAAAAUAAAGAUAUUUAAGAAAUAUAGUACCUUAACAAUUAAAAAUAACAUUGGUUGAUGAUAUCUAAGAAAUUCAAUGUUUUCUUCAACCUAAAAUGAAUAUAAAAAUUUGGUAUGAGGAUUGUUUGCUCGACUAUUGAAACUUAUUGACAACAUAGGAAGAGACAAAACUUUUGGGGAUAUAUUAAUAGAGUGAGGAAUUUGGUACUUGAUUCAUAGAGUAAAAGUUGAACAAAAGCAUCAAGAAACAUCGGGGUUGGAAAUGAUAGUGCACUUUUUAAAAGUCAUAGGUGGAAAGAGGGAAAAUUAGAACAGAUGAACCUUAAUUUUUUGGUAUUUUUGAUAGGUGUUUAGUAAAAUAAUUUAAUAUUACAAUUUAUAGUUAAAAAUGACUUAGUAUAUAAGCAGUUAAAAUGAUUUAGGGCUUGUUUGACCGUGUUUUUUAAAAUUUUCUUUUAAAAUAGAGAAUAAAAAUAGUGAACAUCAAGUUGUUGGAUGGACCAAUUUCUACUCAAUGCCAAAGACAGAACCACACGAAUAGUAGUUAGUUUAACCACAAAACUAAAGGUUUCAAGGAAAUCAAAACCGUGAGUUUGAUGAAAUCCUUUCACCGCUAAAUGUGCCUUAUAACAAUCAAUAGUUCCAUUAGGUUUAAACUUCAAUUUAUAAACCCAGUAACAUCUAAUGGUAUUCUGAUUAGACCAAGGAAGAAUGAUGACCUAUGUUUUAUUUUUCAUAAGAGCUUCAAAUUCAAGAUGCAUAGCCUAUUGCCAUUUAGGAACUUUAGCAAUUUCCUUAAAGGAAUUCAGUUCACAAAGUGGGGGAAAAAUAGUCUUAGUAGGAGACAAAAAUAACUUGAGUUCGAAAAUGCCAUUUUUGGCACGCAUUAUCAUGAGAUGACAAGUAUAGUAUGAACAUAAGAGGAAAGAGGUUGGGUUGUUGGAAUAGGUAUAACCUUAGAAAAGGAAAUUGGCACACUAGAAUUAGAUAUUGGAACCAACUUUGAAGGUGGACAUAAUGGGGGAGGUAAGAGGGAAGAUAUUGGAGAUGAUGGUACUACCAAGGGAAUGACACAAUGAGAGAGGGAAACAUAAUAAGGAGUCUGAACUAUGGAAGACUUAGCAAAUGGGAAAUCUAGUUCAUAAAAAAUAACAUGUUGUGAUAUAUGUAUUUUAUGAUUGGACAUGUUUAAAUAAAGAUAUUCUUUAUGCUUAGAACUAUAGUUGAUAUUUUAACGGAUUGAUAUGCAAGUUUAUGACAAUUAAAAGGAUGUAGAAAAGGAUAACAAAUGCAACCAUAGACAUGAAGAUAAUAAUAAUUUGGUAGACAAUGGUAAAGAGUCUUAUACGGAUCAAGAAGAGAUAUUCAACAUAGAGGUAGGAAGUCUAUUAAUCAAAUAUAAGGUAGAUUGGAAAGCAAAAGGUCAAUAUUUAAGUGGAAUAGAAGCAUGAGCAAGCAAAGAAAGACAUAUUUCAACCACAUGUCUAUGUUUUCUCUCCACAUGACCGUUUUGUUGAAAAGUAGAUGGACAAGAUACUCUAUGCAGAAUCCUAAAUUUACAUAAAGUAUCAAUAAAGGCUUGAAACUCCCCUCCCUAAUUAGUUUGAAGCACUCUAACUUUAGUGUAAAAUUGAGUCUCAAUUAUCACUUUAAAUUGCAAAAAAGCAGAGAUAGCUUGAUUUUUAGAAGCUAGUAGAUACAACCCCAAGAAAAUCUUGUAUGGUCAAUAAGAAAAAAGUACAAAGUAUCUUGCUCCAUUAGCACCAACAAUAGCGGUAGGACCCCAUAGAUCAAAAUGUAUAAGAGCAAAAGGCUAAGAGACUCUAGAUUUAGACAAAGUAAAAGGUAAGUGAUGACUCUUUGCCAUUUGACAAGGUUCACAAAUACCUAUCCAAUGUUUUGAGGGCAUACUAUAAGCACUCAAAACUUUAUUGACUAUUUUACGUGCAAGAUGACCUAAUUAAAAUGCCAUAGAACUACCUUAUUGGGAAGUUGUAAUGCAAAUAACAUACACAGGACCUCAAUUGCCAAGCUUGUUCUUCUAACAAUUUUAUUACAAUUGGAAUCUAUAUUUUUUACCAGAAGCUGAAGAUGACAAUUUGUAUAAACCAUGGUUAAGGUUGCCUUGGAGAAGAGCCUUCUUUGAAGCUUGAUCCUUCAUCACAAAUCCAUUAGUAAAGAAUUCCACAGUAACAUUAUUGUCAGUACACAACUUAUUCACACUUAUCAGAUUGGUUGUAAGUUGUGGAACAUGUAAAAUAUUCUUUAGAUUUAAAGACUGAGAAACCGACAAAAUAGUAGAGUAUCCAAUAUUUGAGAUAUUUAAGCAAUUACCGUUUCCAAUGACGACUUUGUCCAAACUAGCAAAUGGAGUAUGUGCAUUCAAGUUGUUGAAAUUUAGAGUUAGGUGAUAUGUAGCUCUAGUAUCCAUGUACCAACUUCCAUCUCCAAUAGUGGCCAGAGUUGCAAUCAUUGCAGCAAGAUGAGGUUACUCAAUUCUUAGGGUUCUUCUUUCUCAUUGGUUUUUGACUCAGAUGAGUUAACUUAGUUCCUAGAGCUCUUCCUCAAUGACAAACAAUUCUGAUUAGAGUGUGGCAAUGAGUUCAAUGAGCAAGCUGGUGAUUGGUCAAGGCCUCACCAGUGAUGAGGAUGUUGGUGAUAGCAACAAUCUAGUUGGAGAAAUGAUUUUUUCCAACACCUUCAAACACCGUAAAAAUGAUCAUAUCAUCAUCAUGAUCUUAGAUAAGAGAAACUUAAAGUUUUUUUUUUUAUUUCAAUUUCAAAUUCAAAACAAAAUUGCAGAGCACUAGAUACAAAAAAAAGAAAAAAGAAAAUAAAAGAACAAAAAAUCACUAUAGAAACCUUAGAAAACACACUAGGAAGAAAAAUCAUAGACAAACUCACAGAAGAAUUUUAUGGCUUUAGGAGUCGGAGCCGGAGCUAGAGAAGAGUCUUAAUGGACAUUGAGGAGGGACAAGAAGAGGUGUUCAACUAUAAUUUAUAUAGGCUAUAUAUAUUGUAAAUGUUGGCUUUAAAAUGUAUCUGGUAGUGACCCAAUGGAAGUGGAGUCUAUAGGAACAUCUAUGGUAGCGAUCCAAAAAUUAUUGCAGUUAUAGGAGAAUAUAUAAUAGCACUUUCAACAGUAAUCGUGACUAUGUAUAUUUCCUGGAAAAUUUCCCACCAAUCCCAAUCUCAAUCCCUUUAGAUGCAUGUGGUUGGAAUAUGCAUGAGGCCAUAUAUUAUGCGGUUGGGAUAUGAAUGAGGCUAUAUAAUAUUUUUAGUUGUGGAUUUUCUUAGCCCCUACUAAAACUAUAUUGCCAUUUCCUAUUCUUCUUGUAAUGUCAAGUUGGAAAGUCAAACUUAAUUUAAAAACUUUUUAAAUAUUAAACUUAGAGUUAGAGUUAGGUGGUGUUUGUUUUUUUUUUUUGUUGAAAACAAUUUGUUUUCAGAAUUUAAGUCGUUUGUUUUUCUAUUUUUUCAUGACUUAUUAUAUACUUUUUACCAAACAGAAAAAACCAAAAUAUGUAGUUUUUUCUAAAUAGAAAAAAUAAUAUGUUCAUUUUUUUUACUUUUUAAUACUUAAUAGAAAUAAAAUACUACAAAAACAAACAACCUAAUAUUUAACAUUAUUAAGUAUUAAGGUUCUAUUUAGAAUUAAAUAAAAAAAAAUAAAUGCCACAUUAGUUUCUAAAUGUUAAGGAGAACAUUUUAUUUUGAAUGAUUAUUUAGUGUUUGUAUUUGAGUAGUUAAGUCGUCAAAGGUCUCUGUAUUUGAUUAUUAAGAGUUUCUAUUUGGAUAAAUGUGAGUAUAUUUAUAAACAAAAAUUCAUAUAUAUAAUAUAUAUAUAUAUAUUUUAAAAAAGCAAUAGAAUACAAUAAAUUUUUAAUUCUCUCCUAUUUUAUCUUUUUUAUAAGUGUGUGUUUCUCUUUCAUCUAGACAACUCACACAAUACUAACACAAUGAGAGUAAAAGGAGAAGGGCAACAAAGAGUUGGAGCCGGAGAUCAUUGGAGGAACGGGUCAACUGUAGGCCGGUUGUCCAUGGGCUCAUAUAAGUAACAAAAAUUGGAAAUGGUUUCUAUAUCUUAGUGUCGUCUAGAAGACGACAAUCUACCUGUCAGUGUGCAGCAGAAGAGAAAGCGUGAUAUCUACUUCGAGUCAAAACAAAAGGGAACCAGCUCGCAAUUCCUCCGAUACAUCAUUACCGACGUCAUAGCUCUAUUCCCCCAAUUCGUCACUACCAACUUCAUUCUAUCUCCAUUACGCAUUAUUUAAAGAGUCCCCAUGCAGAUGCUGUUCGAAACACAAGUCAGCUUUGACACAACCCCACGUCAUUGUGAUAACCCAUCCGGCACAGGUCCCUGUCCAAAGACCCAUCUUACUCUUUACAUUGUGGCCACUGAUUUAGUAUCUAAUCUCAGGCAAAAUUCACUGGUUUGAUGAAGGUUAUAGAACAAAACUUGUGUUAUUCUUAUCUUUGUUUUUGAUGAACUUUAAAGCAUUUAAAAAGAUUCAACUGGUAAGAAGUAUUUUUGCCUUGGGAAGAUGUUGGUUAUGGAUUAAAAGCAAAAAAGACCCUUGUACAUAUUUUUGGGUACCUGUCAAGCAAAUUAAUGCACAUCCGAACAUCACAACUGUUGUCUCUUAAAUUCUUCCAAUUGACCUGCUUUCGUCUUAUUGAGCGUCUGGGUUACUUGAUAAUGCAAAAACUCAUACAGUUAUUUCGAUAAAUUAAGAGCCUCAGGCAUCAAGGAAAAUCUAUUAUUACUUAAUCGAUAAAUUAAUAAUUUAUUAAUUUAAUUGCUUAUUAAUGAGAUCUCUUGAAUAAUUCUAUUAUGGAACAAGACACCAUAACAAUAUUAAAUAAAUUUUUGUCACAGUGUAAGAAUGCCGCAAUAGAUGUAAUAUGAGAAUGUGAUAUUUAAUUAUGGGCCUCCGCUUAAAAUAAGUAAAUAAAUAAUUAAUAAUUAAAAUUUAAAUAAAAUAAAUAAUUAAUUAAUAAUUAAAAUACAAAUACUAGACUCACAUUCUGAGCAGCCGCUUCUAAACUCUUAUACGCUACAAAAAAACAUACACAAAGAAAUCUAGGAUUCUAGAUUUAAGUGAAGAGAAAGAGGAUUUGAUCUUUUUGUUCUUUCUCGAAAAUUUCAUGGUAAGUGAUACUUCUUAAAGAUUUUUUUUUUCAGUUUUUCUUCUUAGAAACUUUAAUUUCCUAAUAAGAUUCAGAAAUAAUUAAUAAAAACAAGAAAUUAAGAAAUACAUUGAAAGUAAUUAAAUCUAAUAUGAUAGAAACCUAAUAAUAAUAAUAAAAAUAAUAGAAAGUUUGAUGUAUUAUUUCUGAUACCUAAAGGAAAAUUCUAUAUGAAAUUGUGGAGUUAAUGUUUUUUUUUUUAAAUAUAUAAUAAUAACAAAAAACAAUAGAAAGUUUGAUGUGUUAUUGCGUAAACCUAGAAGAAAAUUCUAUAUGAAAUAGUGGAGUUAAUGUUUUUAAAAUAUAUAUAUAUAUAUAUACUAGAAAUUCUUAUGUGUAGGAGAUAAGAAUUCUAUUGGAGGCCUCCAAUUUUAUUAUGUUAGGAUUCCAUAAUGAAUUAAAUUAAAUUAAAUUAAUAUAAUUUAGAUUAGAUUAAUUAUAACUGUGGGAAUUGAAAAGCUUAGGAUGACAAUUAAGAAAUGGAAAUAUGAUAUUUUUUCUAGAUAAAUGAAUAAUUUAUAUAUAUGUUAAAAAACUAUAUAUAUUUAGAAUAUAAUUAUUAUUAGAACAUUAGUUUAAAGAACCCUUAUAAUUUCUCAGGUAAUUCAAAGGAAAUUCUACCGCUUUAAUAUUUGGAGUUUAAGUCCAAUUAAGGGGACAAAUUAAAAAAUAUUUAAGUAUAAUUUUCUUUUGAAAGUUUCAAGAAAUUGGGAAAUAAUUUUGUUAUAAGGUAUAUGUUUGCUUAGAUGUGUGAUAUGAAUUUUUUUUUGUUUAAAAGAAAAAAAAAAUAGGACUAGUAAUCUAAUCCCUGUUAAUAAAGGAAAGUGUUUUGACUUUGGGUCAUAUAAAGUAACUAAAUUGGAAAAUGGUCUCUAGAUCUUAACUUUGGGUCGCGACUAGAAGACGACAAACUACCGGUCAGUGUACAGCAGAAGAUAAAGUGAGACAGGAUACUUAUACAUCUCUUGAAAUUAAUUUGUCUUUGGUCAAAACAAAGAGGAAGCAGCUCACAAUUCCUCCAAAACAUCAUUGCAAACGUCAUAGCUCUGUUUCCCCAAAUUCGUCAUUCCAUACUCUGCCUUCCUUAUUUAAAGAGUUCCAUGCAGAUGCAGAUGCAGUUCGAAACACAAGUCAGAUUUGAUCAUCCUCUGCAUAGACCCAACCGAAGUAUCUCCACUUCAUCUUCUUCCCCUACAAUGACACAACCCCAUUUCAUUGUGAUAACCUAUCCGGCACAAGGCCACAUCAACCCUUCUCUCCAACUGGCUAAGCGCCUCAUACGUGCUGGUGCCCAUGUCACAUUCGUCACUAGCACCUAUGCCGGUGAGCGCAUGGCCAAAACCCCAACCAUGGAUGGGUUAAAAUUUGUCACAUUCCCGGAUGGCUGCGACAGUGGCCUCAAGCAAAGCGAUGCCCUCCAAGGCUUCAUGUCUGAGCUUGAGCGUCUUGGCUCCCAAGCUCUUAUCGGCCUCCUCAUAGCCAGCGCUAAUGAAGGUCGUCCCGUUACUUGCAUAAUCUACGGCAUCCUGAUUCCUUGGGUAGCAGAGGUGGCGCGUAGUCUUCACAUCCCCUCCGCACUUUUUUGGAGUCAACCUGUCUCUGUUUUUAAUAUCUAUUAUUAUUAUUUUUGUGGCUAUGGAGAGCUCAUUCGCAAGAAAGUCAGUGACUCCUCGCCUUCCAUUGAAUUACCAGGACUGCCCUUGCUCAGUAGCCGUGACAUUCCCUGUUUCCUACUCCCCUCAAAUGCAAAUGAAUACAACUUCGUCCUUUCAGCGUUUCAGAAGCACCUAGAGAUGCUCCACCGUGAUACCAACCCAACGGUACUGAUAAACACUUUCGAUGCAUUGGAACCAGAGGCCCUAAGGGCCGUCAGUAAGUUUAAGUCGAUUGGAGUUGGACCCUUGUUUCCAACCGCUUUCUUGGGUGGAAAAGAUCCAUCCGAUACUUCAUUUGGAGGUGAUCUGUUCCGUCGUUCAAAGGAUUAUAUUGAAUGGCUGAACUCAAAGCCUGAAUCUUCUGUCAUUUAUGUGUCAUUCGGAAGCCUCGCGGUGUUAUCAAAGCAACAAUCAGAGGAGAUUGCUCGUGGAUUGCUGGACAGUGGCCGGCCUUUGCUGUGGGUCAUAAGAGCCAAGGAGAAGGGAGAAGAGGAGAAAGAAGAAGAUAAACUAAGUUGCUACGCAGAAUUAGAACAACAAGGGAUGAUAGUACCAUGGUGUUCUCAGGUUGAGGUUCUCUCAAAUCCAUCACUGGGUUGUUUCGUGACUCAUUGUGGGUGGAAUUCAACCUUGGAGAGCUUGGCUUCUGGGGUGCCAGUUGUGGCAUUUCCUCAGUGGACCGACCAAUCCACGAAUGCAAAGCUAGCCGAAGACGUGUGGAAAACGGGUGUACGCGUGACCGUGAACCAAGAAGGAAUAGUUGAAGCUGAUAAGAUUAAGAGGUGCCUGGAAUUGGUCAUGGGAGAUGGAGAGGAGGCCAAAGAAAUGAGAAGGAAUGCGAACAAAUGGAAGGAUUUAGCAAGGGAGGCGGUAAUGGAAGGUGGAUCAUCUGACAAGAACCUUAAGAAUUUUAUGGAUGAGUUUAUGCAAGGGUACUAGCUAGUAAUUACUAGUCAGUAGUGCCUGGUCCAUAAAAUAAUCUCUUUGAUUUAUUAUUAAGACUUUCCGUUUAAUUUAAAUAAUUUACAAGAAGGUUUUUAUUAUUUAUUAUGUAACAUUAAUCAUUGGUAGAGGCCAUAUUUAAUUAACAGCUGGCACUGCAAGAAAAUGAACUUCUCAAAGGCCCCGUCACAAAUGAUCUGUCAAAUCCGUGCUUAAGGUGCAUGUUGGUAAAUAUCUGGUACCAGCCAAAUUUUCCAAUUAUUUCUAAUAUGGUCACGAGGACAACCCCAAACUAGCCUUGAAGGUCCUUGUCUAAAGACCCAUCAUUACAUUGUGGCCACUGAUUUAGUAUCUUAUCUUCUCAGGCCCAUAAGUUCAUUGCUAGGUUUGCUGAAGGCUAUAAAACUGAACUUGUGUUAUUCUUCUUGUCUUUGGUUUUGAUGAACUUUGAAACUCUUAAAAAAUCCAAUGGGCAAGAAGUAUUUUUGCCUUGUGAAGAUGUUCGUUAUGGAUUUAAAAGAAAGAAAAAAAACAGAUUACAAAAAAACAAAAAAAGUCUUCUGCCAUUAAGGGCACUAUCAUAAAUAAUAGUAAAAUUAAGGGUAAAUUAUAGAAAUAAUGAGAAUGAUUAUCUGCUCAUACAUCACACAUGUGGCCGUGCAAGACAACAAAGAGGGGUAUCUGUAGCCUUCAUUUAAGAAAAUGAAGGAUAAUCAUCUGCUCUCUCAGCCCAUCUUCAAUAUCUCCUUCAUGUUGAGUCUAAUCACCACGCUUGGUCAAAAUGAUGGAAUUGGAAGGAAAAUUUGAACCAAGUCAUGCUUGAUCAAAUUUUCCAUAUUUUUGGUGUGUUUGGCUGGUGAAGAAAUCAAAGAAAAAUAGAAUUUUCACAAGAAACAAUUCCAAGUUCCUACAUUUUCCUUUAAUUUUUUAUUGGUCAAACACACAUUUUUCAAAAAAAAAAAAUAGUCAAAAUUAUAAAGAAGCAAAAUUACCCUAAAAGUAAUGUACCUCAAUGAAAAUCAUGAAAGAGGAUUUGUGGGACAUAUCCUUAAAUCACCAAGCUACUAUUUGUGGGAUAAUCAUAAGAAAAAUGGACUUGGUGGGAUAAAAAAAAGACUGCAUUUUAAAGUUUCAAUUGUUGUAAAGGUUGUACUACUAUAAUUUACACCUAUAUAUCCUUAUAUAUCUUUUGAUAAAACUAAUGUAAUAGUGAAUGUAACUGUUUUGUAAUAUAAUUUUGGGUCUUGCUAUUAGGUUCUUAUUCAAGUCUCUUCUCUCACUUUACUGCUCUCCUUUUGUUUUGUGGACUAAGGAGUACAAAAAUAAUUUUCUAUUUAGUUUGAUAUAAUAUAUGUAGGGAGAGUGAUGGAAUACAAUUAGAGCUUGUUUGGUCAUAUGAUUUAAAAAUAGUUUUUAUUUUUAAAAAUUUCUCAUACUAUUUGACUGUUAUUCACUAUAAAUAAUUUUUAAAAACAAAAUGAAAUAAAUAACAGUUUUUAAAAAACGAACAAAAGUUAUUUUCACUGAUUUUUAAAAACAAAAAGAAAACACAGACUCAUUUGAUCAUUUUGUUUUUCAAAACUAUUUUUAAGUUAAAGAAUAUAAAACUGUUUUCAAAAUUAAGUUUUAGAAAACAUGGUCAAACCAAUUCUAAAUUUUCAAUUUUCUAGUAUUUUUAUCUUCUUUUGUAAUUGUGCAGGUUUCUCUUUGAACGGUGUUACUCCAACAAUAUGGACACAAUGAGAAUGAAAAGAAGAGGACGAGAAAGAGUUGGAGCCGGUGAUGAUUGAUCAACUGUAAACCGGUUGUCCAUGGGUUGAAUGCCUAGUGAUUGUGUUAGAAUUGGGAAAAAUAAAAACAAGUACUAGAUUUUUUCUUUUUUCUUUUUUUCUUUUUAAAUUAAGUUUGGGGUCAUGAUCAUAUGAGAAAUGGUGUUCUUUUUGCCUUAGAAAGAGUAGCAGGCGCCAAGGGACUGAAUGGGUUUGUGUUAGGGAAAUCAUUUUUAGCUUCAAUCAGUUUCAGCUUCAUUUAGUUUUAGAUACCCACCUUACACAACUCGUUUGUAAUGCAUGUAUCUCCUACGGAAGAUGAAGAUAAUUUUCCAGGAAAUAUAGGAAAAACUUCUAUCACCCUUCCUUCCUCAUUUUUAUUUUUUCCUCUGUUUCACCAUUUCAAACAUGGUAUCAGGAUAGGUUUCAGCUUAGUCAUGGAAACCUCCUCCAAGUCCAUGGAAGACACCUCAACAACCACCAUCUUUCUCCCAGUUUCCUUCCCCCACCCAAUCUCAUCUAAACUAGACAAUCAUAAUUUUCUGGUUUGGGGAAAACAGAUACUACAUUAAAUGGCCAUAAGCUCAAACACUUCCGUUUCGAAUCCUCAAUUUUGCCUUCCAAGUUCCUCUCUUUAGACACUGAAACCCAACAUCAUGUAAAUCCCAUGUUCCAGGAUUGGAAAUAAUAAGCUCAACUCAUCAUGUCUUGGAUUCUUGCAUCCAUAUCUGAUGCUCUUCUCACUUGUAAGGUGAGCUGUGACACUUCAGCCCAAGUGUGGAAGACCUAGGAUUAUGUUUUGCCACCCAAGUAACAGCCAAAGUAACCUAAUUCAAGACUCAACUAUACAACACCAAAAAAGGAGAAUGAUCUAUAACUAAUUAUCUUCUUAAAAUUACAAAUAUAAUUGAUCUUCUUGCCCUAGUUGGCCACAAGCUUUCUGUGAAAGACCACAUAGAUGCAAUCUUUGAAGGUCUUUCUCAAGAUUAUGAAACCUUCAUCAUCUCUGUAAACUCUAGAAUUGAUCCAUAUACAGUAGAGGAAAUUGAAACUCUUCUUUUUGCUUAAGAAAGUUGCAUUGAGAAAAGUAUCAAUAUUCCAAAAUUUUCCACUUCUAUCUUGGCCCACUUCAUCACAACCAAUAACUGUCCACAUUUCAACCCAAAUGGUUCUCCACAUUUCAACCACAGAUCUGGAAACAGGAACUCAAAUAUGCAUCCACCUACAUACCUGCAUACUUUGGAAACAUGUACUUGACAGUUAUGAAAGGAAAAAGGUGAAAAAAUUAUAUAAUUUGAUUGAGAAGACAAUUUUAGAUGGAGUUAUAAAGGUGGAGCCGAGUCAUGAUGGAAGAGUCUUUUGUCAGUAUUAAAGAACUUUUCACAGUAGAAAAGUGCGACAAGAUGAUCAAGACUCCAUUUUGGACUAAGAGUACUCAUUAGCACAAUGAUGAGGGUAAUUGCAAAAGAAGACAAAGACGGUUUAUAGAGUCAAGUUUGAUGAGAUCAGUUUCAACUUUGCACAUAUUUAUUCUUAUUAAUUGUGUAGGAUUGAGAGAAUUUGAGUGAAGGUGGAGAUUAUUGAGAUCUAACUCAAAUAAUUUAUUUUUAUUUUUAGGAAAGUCAAUAUGUAUAGAGUUUGUGUUUUAAUAAAUUACCGUUUUAAGUUAGACUAAGAUUAGGUAACUAUUAUUUUAGGGUUAACACUAUAAAUAUAUGGUUUUAUAUUAGAGAGAAAGAGAGAAGGAAAAAAAGAAGAGAGUCAACAGAUAAAGACAAAUAGGAUAUUAGGUUUUAGGUAGAGGAAAGUUGAGAGAAUUUGAAGUGUGUAAUCUUGAAUGUUAUAACAUAACAAAUUUGAUCUCCCUUUCCUUUAGACAUAGGUAAUUACUAUUCAACGACUUAAAUCUUGUCUUCUUUGAUUUUCUUUUUUUAUUUUUUUUAUUGCAUUUGGUUGUUUGAUUUUUUUUCGAACAAAUGGCACAGGGCGUCCGUAUGCUCAACAAACAUUACCUGUUUCCUGCUCCCCCAAAUGCAAAUGCAGACAACUUUGUCCUCUGGGCGUUUCAGAAGCACCUAAACUCCACCACGAUGCCAACCCAACGGUACUGAUAAACGCUUUCGAUGCAUUAGAACCUGAGGCCCUAAGGGCUGUCACUAAGUUUAAGUCGACUGGAGUUGGACCCUUGUUUCCGACCGCUUUCUUGGGUGGGAAAGAUCCAUCUGAUACUUCAUUUGGAGGCGAUCUUUUCCGUCGUUCAAAGGAUUAUAUUGAAUGGCUGAACUCAAAUCCUGAAUCUUCUGUCAUUUAUGUAUCAUUUGGAAGCCUCGCGGUUUAUCGAAGCAACAGUCUGAGGAGAUUGCUCGUGGAUUGCUGGACGGUGGCCGACGUUUCUUGUGGGUCAUAAGAGCCAAGGAAAAGGGAGAAGAGGAGAAAGAAGACAAACCAAGUUUCCUCGAAAAGUUGGAACGACAAGGGAUGAUGGUACCAUGGUGUUCUUAGUGUAAAACUCUGUAGAAAUCUGUAAAAUGGUAUUGGCUUCAAUGCCAAAAACCGGGUGGCUAUUCUCAUUUAUAUACAAUUACAGAAGAAGUUUUGAAAUACACAAUAACAAAAAUUUAAAAAUACAUAACAGAAAUUUAAAUAUAGUCAAGGGUUAUCUCUUAAAGUAGAUAAGUGUUUAUUUGUUUCAUUCAAUCGCAACUGAUCUGGUGGAUAAGAUAAGUGAGAAGCCAAGGAAAUCUUGGUGGUUUGAAUGUUGUGGUUAUCAUCCCCCCUCAAGCUAAUGGGGAGAGAAACCACCAUUAGCUUGUCACGAAGCAGACAAAACCGAGCUAAACUUAGUCACUUUGUAAAGAUAUCAGCAGGCUGAUCAUAAGAACCAAUGAACUGAAGGGAAAUAUCUCGAUUAGCAACUUUCUCGCAGAUGAAGUGAAAAUCAACUUCAAUAUGUUUGGUGCGGGCAUGAAACACAGGAUUAGAAGCAAGAGCAAGAGCGCCACUAUUAUCACACCAAAUAGUAGGAGUUGUGGGCAAAGAAAUAUGAAGUUCUUUGAGGAGCAUACGAAUCCAAUACAACUCAGCAGUAGUAAUAGCUAAUGCCCUAUAUUCGGCUUCAGUGCUAGAACGAGCUACCACAGAUUGUUUCUUGGCAGUCCAUGAGAUUAAGCAAGAGCCAAAGAAAACGCCAUACCCAGUAGUUGAUCUUCGAUCAUCGGGAUUACCAGCCCAAUCUGAAUCACAAAAGGCUUGAAGAGUUUGCUCACCCUUAGUGUACCAUAAUCCCAGAUCAAUGGUGCCUUUUAGGUAACGUAAGACACGUUUUGCUGCUGUCCAAUGAACAGAAUUAGGACAGUGCAUAUGUUGACAUAGUUGGUUGACAGAAAAUGCUAUAUCAGGUCUAGUCAAGGUGCAAUAUUGAAGAGCUCCCACAGUUUGUCGAUAUUCUGUAAUUUGAGAAGCUGUGAGUGGCUCACCAACAUGAGUGGAUAAUUUAAGGCCUGUGGUACAAGGAGAGGAAGCAGGUUUGGCCCCAGCCAUCUUGGUACGAUGAAGAAGAUCCCCAAUGUACUUGGAUUGUCGAAGAUGUAGGCCAGAAGAGUCACGACUUGCUUGGAUGCCGAGAAAAUAGCCUAAAGGACCAAGGUCUUUCAUCUUGAACUCGGUCUGUAGCUUUUGGAUUGGAGACUGAAUGAGAGAAGGAUUUGUACCUGUAACAAGGAUAUCAUCUACGUAGAUGAGGAUAAAUAGAUGAAUAUGGCCCUUAUGAUAGACAAAUAAGGAGGCAUCCACUGGUGAGGAUAGGAAACCGAAUUCAAGUAGAGUUUGAGAUAGACGCAUAAACCAAGCACGAGGUGCUUGUUUGAGGCCAUAAAGUGACUUGUUCAGUUUGCAAACAUAAUCUGGAAAAUUUGAAUUAACAAACCCCUUAGGUUGCUCCAUAUAUACAUCCUUUAGCAAGAUCCCAUGAAGAAAAGCGUUAGAUACAUCAAGCUGUCUGAUUUCCCAAUCAAAUUGAACAGAAAUUGUAAGAAGCACCCGUACAGUAGAAGGCUUAAUUACUGGACUAAAAGUCUCAGUAAAGUCAAUACCUUCUUCUUGAGCAAAUCCUAAGGCCACUAAUCUUGCUUUGAAUCUGUCAACCUCACCUGUGGAUGUUUGUUUAACUUUAUACACCCACUUAUUUCCCACCACAUUAUGAUCAACAGGUCUAGGACAUAGCUUCCAUGUCUCAUUAGCCAAUAAAGCAUCAUAUUCCUUUCUCAUAGCAACACACCAGUCAGGUAAUAAAGCAGCUUGUCGGUAAGAUGUUGGUGCAAGGGGAGUCACAGUAUUGGAUAAUGCUUGGAGAGGAUAUUGAGUGGAAUAAAGUUUAAAAUCUGAAAAUGUGCGAGGUUUGAGGUUGCCUGUUUGGGAGCUAGUUGUCAUGGGGUGAUGAGAGUGAUUGGAAGAAGAGGAAACUUCAAGUAUAGAAAGGAAAGGAGCUGGACCAGGUAUGGGAGAAGGUAGAGUGGAGAUAUGAGGAGAAGUGGGGAUAUGUAAAGAUUCUAGAGGAGAAUCAGGUGAAUCUGAAAUAAUUGGAGAGGAAUGCUGUAAAUUAGAAGUAGAUAAAGAAAAUGAAGGAGAAGGUAAAGGCGUACCUUGAGAGGAGACCACUGGAAGAAGUUCAGAAGACUGCAAUCCAUCCUUAGCAGGAAAUGUAUUCUCAUUAAACACAACAUGUCGUGAGAUUAUAACUUUUUGAGUGACAGGAUCCAAGCAUCUAUAUCCAUUUUGAUGGGAACUAUAACCUAGAAAUAUGCAACGUUUGGAUCUAAACAUUAAUUUGUGAGUUGCAUAUGGUCGCAACAAUGGAAAACAGGCACAACCAAAGGUGCGCAAGGAGGUAUAAUCAGGAUGUUUGCCAAAUAAUUUAAGAUAUGAUGUUUGGUUAUCAAGAGUAGAUGUUGGCAGUCUAUUGAUGAGAAAAAUGGAUGUUAAAAAGGCAUCAACCCAGAAUUUAGUGGGAAAAAGUGACUGAGCUAACAGAGACAGUCCCAUUUCCACCACAUGACGGUGUUUACGCUCAGCAACCCCAUUUUGUUGGGGUGUAUGAGGACAAGUGUGGCGAUGUUGGAUUCCAUUAGAGGAAAGAAACAAUUGAAAUUGGUUGGACAUGUAUUCUCCACCUCCAUCCGAUUGUAAUUGCUUAAUUUUGCAAGGAAAUUGGUUUUCAACUAGUGUUUUGAGUUUAACAAAGCAAGCAUAUACAUCAGAUUUAUUUUGGAGAGGAUAAAGCCAUGAGAAUCGUGAAAAGUCAUCAAUGAAUAUAACAUAAUACUUGCAUCCACUGAGAGAUUUGGUAGAACAAGACCAUACAUCAGUAUGAAUUAAUUGCAAAGGAAAGGAAGAAACACGAGUAGAAGGUUUGAAAGAAAGUUGCUUACCUUUUCCAAGUUGGCAAGAUUCACAAAAAUGCAUUUUUUUCACUGAUCCUUCAACAGGUAAGGAAUGUUUAUUUAAUAACUGAGACACAAUGGGAAGAGAUGCAUGUCCUAAUCUAGAAUGCCAAACUGAAACUGAUGCUUUAAUUCCUACAACGGCUGACAAAGCAUGUGAUUUAUUGAUAGACAUUGACCGCAACUGGAUUGGAUAGAGACCCCCUUCACUCCUGCCUUCCAGUAGUGUCACCCCCGUUUGUAUGUCCUUGACAAAAUAAUGAGUACCAGUUAGAAUAAAGAGGCAAUUGUUAUCAAGACAGAAUUGAUUUAUGGAAAGCAAAUUGGCAGAAGCUUGAGGACAAUGGAGGACACGUUUGAGGUUUAAUUUAGCUUCAGGAGUAUGAAAAAUAGUAGUAUCAGUAUGUGCAAUACUUAAACCUUGGCCAUUACCAACAACUACAUUUUCUUGUCCUGUGUAUGGUUGUUGCAGAGUAAGAUGCUCCAGAUUGGCAGUAAUGUGUUGAUUAGCUCCACUGUUAGCAAACCAUGUCUCUUCCUCUUGCUCAGCAUUGCUAUGUGCCACCAUAGCAGCUAACUGGGUUGGUGGAUGACGACCCUGAUAUGCAUAAUCCAUUCUAUGAAAGCAAUCUAAUGCCUUAUGACUUAGUUUUCCACAGAUUUGACAAGGUGACUUAGGAGUGGAAAAUGAGUGCUGCUUCUGAUUUGGCUGAGGUGAGGAAGGUAAACCAGAGGGUUGUGGUGAAUAUCGAGGACGAGGAUUUUGUGAAAAUAAAGGACGUGAAUAUGGUUUACUUGGGUUUUUGGGUUUGCGAUUGUACUGCUGUUGGUUGGAUUUGGGAGUGAAGAAAGCAAAAUUAUUUGUCUCAGGUGGUAUAGCAAUAUUCUGGUUUUCCAAUAACAGUUCAUAGGACAAGAGCUCGGCUUGAAAAUCUUCAAAAGAAACAUUCUUGUCUCUAGUGGCAAAGGACAGAGAGGUUAUAAAGGGAUUAAAGGAUGGGUUGAGACCACUCACAAUAUAAGACAUUAAGUCAUCAUCCUCAAGUGGCUUACCAACUGCAGAUAAUUCAUCAGACACCAACUUCGUUUUUUCAAGAAAAUCAGUGCACUUCAUUGACCCUUGAUGAAGAGUCUGCAACUUUCGCUUUAGGUGGUGUACACGGUUUCUGGAUUGAGAGGCAAACUUGUUUGCUAGAGAACUCCACACCUCUCGAGCAGAUGUGAUGCCAUAGACAGAAGCUAGCACCUUGUCAGACAAAGUGGCAUUGAUCCAACUUAACACACACUGAUCUUUCUUAUUCUAGAGAAUAUAUGCUGGAUUAAGAGAACCAUCAAGAGAUUUUGAUGGACACGGCUCAGAACCAUCCACGAAGCCCAUCAAGUCAUGACUUUUCAGUACUGGCACAAUCUGAGAUGACCAUAUAAGAUAGUUUGUGUCACUCAGCUUGAUCGACACCAGAUGACCAAUGUUUGGAGGAGCAAAGAUAACAUUGGAGGAAGCGGAAGAAGAGAAGGCCAUAGUUGAGAAGUAAAGGAUCGAUUGAAAUUAGGCGUAUGCCAAUCGCUCUGAUACCAUGUAAAACUCUGUAGAAAUCUGUAAAAUGGUAUUGGCUUCAAUGCCAAAAACCGGGUGGCUAUUCUCAUUUAUAUACAAUUACAGAAGAAGUUUUGAAAUACACAAUAAAAAAAAUUUAAAAAUACAUAACAUAAAUUUAAAUAUAGUCAAGGGUUAUCUCUUAAAGUAGAUAAGUGUUUAUUUGUUUCAUUCAAUCGCAACUGAUCUGGUGGAUAAGAUAAGUGAGAAGCUAAGGAAAUCUCGGUGGUUUGAAUGUUGUGGUUAUCACUUAGGUUGAGGUUCUCUCAAAUCCAUCACUGGGUUGUUUUGUGACACAUUGUUUGGUGGAAUUCAACCUUGGAGAGCUUGGCUUCUGGGGUUCCAGUUGUGGCAUUUCCUUAGUGUACCGACCAAUCAACAAACGCAAAGCUAGCCGAAGACAUGUGGAAAACGGGUGUACGCGUGACCGUGAAGAGGAAUAGUUGAAAGCAAUGAGAUUAAGAGGAGGUGAAAGAAAUGAGAAGGAAUGCAAAGAAAUGAAAGGAUUUAGCCAAGAGAGGAUGUGAUGGGAGGUGGAUCAUCUGACAAGAACCUUAAGAAUUUUAUGGAUGAGGUCAUACAAGGUUACUAGCU
RNAcentral lists this long non-coding RNA (18751 nucleotides) under Vitis vinifera (wine grape). Its description in RNAcentral is "long non-coding RNA (VVIN_LNC001544)". The record is from RNAcentral. Lineage: Eukaryota; Viridiplantae; Streptophyta; Magnoliopsida; Vitales; Vitaceae.